This 775-nucleotide ribosomal RNA is filed under the name uncultured Neocallimastigales. Its description in RNAcentral is "partial large subunit ribosomal RNA". It matches the Rfam family "Eukaryotic large subunit ribosomal RNA", at positions 20 to 616 of the family's 3401-position model. Lineage: Eukaryota; Fungi; Neocallimastigomycota; Neocallimastigomycetes; Neocallimastigales. The record is from RNAcentral.
UACUAGAGUAGCACUCGCAUAUCAAUAAGCGGAGGAAAAGAAACUAACAAGGAUUCCCCUAGUAACGGCGAGUGAAGCGGGAAGAGCUCAAAUUUGAAAUCUUAAAGGGUUUCCCUUUACGAAUUGUAGUUUAAAGAAGUGUUUUCUGUUGAGGUUUUGGUAAAAGUUCUUUGGAAUAGGACAUCAUAGAGGGUGAGAAUCCCGUAUUUGACCUUUACUUUCAACUUUGUGAUACACUUUCAAAGAGUCGGAUUGUUUGGGGAUGCAGUCCAAAAUGGGUGGUAAAUUUCAUCUAAAGCUAAAUAUUGGCGAGAGACCGAUAGCGAACAAGUACCGUGAGGGAAAGAUGAAAAGAACUUUGAAAAGAGAGUUAAACAGUACGUGAAAUUGUCAAAAGGGAAGCGUUUGACACCAGUGUUGUUUUUCUGAAAAUCAAUUAAAGAACUGUUUAUGCUAAGCUGUUUAGACUUUAUCAGCUAUCUGUUUAGUUUUAGGCUUUUCUUUAAUGCACUCUUCAGUUAACAAGUCAACAUCAAUUUCUUUUGCUGUAAAAAAGCUUGAGGAAGGUGGCUUGAGAUUCGUCUUAAGUGUUUAUAGCCUCUUGCCUAUGCAGUCGGAGAGAUUGAGGUCUGCAGCGUAGAUCCUUCGGGGCUAAAUGCAUUUGUGCUAAGUUAUAGCAGUUUUAUAGACAACUUGUUGACUAUGAUUUGUCUUGUAGCUUACUCGCUUAUGUUAUUUUACCUACGCUUAGGAUGUUGAGCGCAUGUCUCUCUCU